GCUCCAAUGGGAAGAACAUUCUCAUCAAGAAAGAAAUGGGGGGAAUGAGGAAAGUGAAUCGAACCAACUUUCUCGCUCCUGAUCCCGAUGGCAAACAUCAGACCUGGGAUCAAUUGUUGAUAGAACGCAAAAUCCUCACCUGCCAUUAUCUUCGUCCCCAUCUUCACCUUAUCAGGACCAAGAAGUAGUUCACCAACUUUCUGUACAUGUUGAUGCAGGAUUUUAUCAUUCAUAACACCAGGAUAUGAUGGGUACCCGUCGAUUUUCAUGUUAAUGAA
This 278-nucleotide unclassified non-coding RNA is filed under the name Hevea brasiliensis (rubber tree). Lineage: Eukaryota; Viridiplantae; Streptophyta; Magnoliopsida; Malpighiales; Euphorbiaceae. The record is from RNAcentral.